GGUUCGAUCAUGGCUCAGAUUGAACGCUGGCGGAUGCUUUACACAUGCAAGUCGAACGGCAGCACGGACUUCGGUCUGGUGGCGAGUGGCGAACGGGUGAGUAAUGUAUCGAACGUGCCUAGCGGGGAUAACUACGCGAAAGCGUAGCUAAUACCGCAUACGCCCUUCGGGGGAAAGCGGGGACCUUUCGGGCCUCGCACUAUUAGAGCGGCCGAUAUCGAUUAGCGAAGUUGGUGGGGUAACGGCUCACCAAGGCGACGAUCCGUAGCUGGUUUGAGAGGACGACCAGCCACACUGGACUCGAGACACGGCCCAGACUCCUACGGGAGGCAGCAGUGGGGAAUUUUGACAAUGGGGGAACCCCGAUCCAGCCAUCCCGCGUGUGCGAUGAAGGCCUUCGGGUUGUAAAGCACUUCUUUGGCAGGAAAGAAACGGCACGGGAUAAUACCCCGUGCAAUUGAUGGUACUCAGCAGAAUAAGCACCGGCUAACCAUGCCAGCAGCCGCGGUAAUACGUAGGGUGCAAGCGUUAAUCGGAAUUACUGGGCGUAAGCGUGCGCAGGCGGUUUCGGAAAGAAAGAUGUGAAAUCCCAGAGCUUAACUUUUGGAACUGCAUUUUUAACUACCGAGCUAGAGUGUGUCAGAGGGAGGUGGAAUUCCGCGUGUAGCAGUGAAAUGCGUAGAUAUGCGGAGGAACACCGAUGGCGAAGGCAGCCUCGGGGAUAACACUGACGCUCAUGCACGAAAGCGUGGGAGCAAACAGGAUUAGAUACCCCGGUAGUCCACGCCCUAAACGAUGUCAACUAGCUGUUGGGGCCUGGGCCUUGGUAGCGCAGCUAACGCGUGAAGUUGACCGCCUGGGAGUACGGUCGCAAGAUUAAAACUCAAAGGAAUUGACGGGGACCCGCACAAGCGGUGGAUGACGUGGAUUAAUUCGAUGCAACGCGAAAACCUUACCUACCCUUGACAUGUCUGGAAUCCCGAAGAGAUUUGGGGAGUGCUCGCAAGAGAACCGGAACACAGGUGCUGCAUGGCUGUCGUCAGCUCGUGUCGUGAGAUGCUGGGUUAAGUCCCGCAACGAGCGCAACCCUUGUCAUUAGUUGCUACGAAAGGGCACUCUAAUGAGACUGCCGGUGACAAACCGAGGAAGGUGGGGAUGACGUCAAGUCCUCAUGGCCCUUAUGGGUAGGGCUUCACACGUCAUACAAUGGUCGGGACAGAGGGUCGCCAACCUGCGAGGGGGAGCCAAUCCCAGAAACCCGAUCGUAGUCCGGAUCGCAGUCUGCAACUCGACUGCGUGAAGUCGGAAUCGCUAGUAAUCGCGGAUCAGCAUGUCGCGGUGAAUACGUUCCCGGGUCUUGUACACACUGCCCGUCGCUACACCAUGGGAGUGGUUUACCAGAAGUGGUUAGGCCUAACCGUAAGGAGGGCGAUUACCACGGUAGGAUUCAUGACUGGGGUGAAGUCGUAACAAGGUAA
RNAcentral lists this ribosomal RNA (1478 nucleotides) under uncultured Bordetella sp. RNAcentral describes it as "partial 16S-23S ribosomal RNA intergenic spacer". It matches the Rfam family "Bacterial small subunit ribosomal RNA". The record is from RNAcentral. Lineage: Bacteria; Pseudomonadati; Pseudomonadota; Betaproteobacteria; Burkholderiales; Alcaligenaceae.